GGCUGGAGGGACAGAGCAGCCAUGCUAUAAGCAGCUUAAGCCAGAUAUAAUGAGGAGAGGAAUCCGUGCUAUUUCAGAAGACAUCCAAUAGCAAACAACUGACCAUCUUUCAAAGUACAAGAUAGAUUUCUCCAGUACAGACAAUGGAGGAAGUGAGAACUACUGGCCAAAAAGAUGAGGCACCCUCUACUCCCUCAGUUCUUUCCACCAUCUCCCCACAAUCAAGAUUCCAUUAGGACUCUGAGGAAGAUGGAAAGGUGGUCAGGAAGUGUGAAUAGGCAGAAUCCAUCUCUAAGAACUCCGGUUACAGGUGCUAAAAGCAGACACUGGUAUUUUCACCUGGAGUACAGAUCUCAUAUGUAUCGGAUCCAGGACACUUCAUAGCCAGAACUUCCUGCAGCAAUAAGGCUUGCAGCCUGUUCUGGGUCUCCUUGAGCACGCUGGGGGUAAAUGUGCUGCAGACAGACCAGCAUGAGGGACAGCGACCCUCUCUGACGCAUGCCAAGCAUCUACUAUGGGCAUCCUGAUCCUGGGAAAACGGCCGGACAAGAGAUGCACCUACCUUUUGAAGCCAGGUCUCUUAGGUUAUGUCUACACUGCAUUUUAAAAAACAGGGAAUUGUAUCUCAGGGUACAUCUACACUACCC
Long non-coding RNA from Chrysemys picta bellii (western painted turtle), 647 nucleotides. RefSeq lists it as uncharacterized. NCBI's taxonomy places the organism in Eukaryota, Metazoa, Chordata, Testudines, Emydidae. The record is from RefSeq and is a predicted model, not a curated record.